UAUUAUGGAGAGUUUGAUCCUGGCUCAGGACGAACGCUGGCGGCAUGCCUAAUACAUGCAAGUCGAGCGAACUGUUGGAAG
Molecule: ribosomal RNA, 81 nt
Filed under: Sporosarcina sp. P10
Lineage: Bacteria; Bacillati; Bacillota; Bacilli; Caryophanales; Caryophanaceae
Description: partial 16S ribosomal RNA
Rfam family: Bacterial small subunit ribosomal RNA
Source: RNAcentral